AUGCAGCAGAGGAAUGUCCGAAAAAAACAAGCAACGAUGGACAACUACAUGGGGAACAAGACACUCACCCCCCAGCAAUGCAUACCAGUUACAAACUCUAUUCUAGAUUCUACAUUAUUUUUUAUGGAAUUUACCUCAUAUUUUGAUGCCAAAAAAUUAUUCUGGACUGAUAUUUUGCACUGUUUAGCUCAUUUUACACCGCUGACUGUGUUCUUGUGCAAUAAAAUAGAUUGCAGUCAACUGCACAAUUCUCUUAUGUUCUUCUUUUUCUUAACUGAAAUGUAUUCAUCACUUGUAUAGGUUAAAUAGCUAAACAAUAACAAACCGAUUAAUCAAUUAAUCGAAAAAAUAAUGGACAGAUUAAUCGAUUAUGAAAAUAAUCGUUAGUUGCAGCCCUACACAAGUCAUUUAGGACUUAGCACCAACCUGCUGUAACAUGGGCAACAGUCAGGUAGUCUAUAGCCAAUGGUUUCCAUUUCUAGAGGUAUUCAGACAAAUACCUCCAGAAAUGGGCCAAUGAACCCCUCAGGUAAGCAGAAAAGCAGGACUUUCUGUUGACCUGAACAGCUGUGCUUUACCUGUAAAACCUACCUGUCGAUGCUAGACUUAGUGUCAGCCAUCUUGUUGAGACUGGACACUCUGAACCCAUAGGCAUUUCCUCUUUGUCCCUUGUUCAUGUAGUUUCCAAAGGCUAGUAUGACCUGAAGAAGCUGACAGAGAGCUGGACUCUGGACCACCUCUUUAGAAGCGAGACUAAGAGCUGGAAGAAGGGAGAAGAAGAAAAAGUUGAGGAGUGAAGCAGAAUUCAGCAUUAAAUAUCUAUCCCUACAACAAGUAUUAGUCAGUAAUUGUAAAGUAAUCAACCUUUUCUUCCAAAAACAACAAGGAAGCGUGUUUUCUUCUCAUCCUCUGUAUUUCUAAGGGAAGCAUACAAACGGCUCUGAGUUCUGUACCAUGUUGGUGGUUUGAAUUUGUUUAGUGAUGUAACCUAUUCAGACAGAUUAAUAACUGCAUGAAUUUAUAAAGCAGGAAACAUUAUUAAAGGGACAUUGAAAUGUUGAGUUACACAAGUGGAAAAUGCUAUUUUUAACCAGCCCAGCCAUUCUUCUGACCCAGCUGUACUCUUCUUGCUUUAGCUUAGCAUCAACACAACGACUGAAUGGAUCCAACUAGCAUUGGGAGUAAAAAAGUCAAUAAAAUCACUCAGUAGUGAUCCCAGUUCUGCUUGGUGACCUAAAUAAUUACGCUGACUGACAGUGAAAAUAAUUAGUAACAUAAAGGAAUCAAAGGCACCAUUUUAGAUUCGGGACUACUUUAUGACAAAGGUGUGUGUGUGUGUGUGUGUGUGUGUGUGUGUGUGUGAAAUCCUGAGUCCUGCAGCUGGCGGUUUGCUAGCAACUUUUGCAUCUGUGUUUGUGGAAGCAGGUGUCUUGGGGGCCUGAUGUUGAACUGAAAAACGACCUCAGUAACUAUUCUGGAUGAUAGUACAGUCCUAUCUGCAUUAAUAGCUCAUUAACACAAAUUAAAUGCUGUUCGACUAUUAACAUAUGAUGAACAUGUGUUUCCAAACUUUCUGGACAUCUCUUGUGAUUUAGUUUCAACAAAUUUCUUCACAUGUUCAGCUGACUGUCCCAUUCAGUAAUAAAAUGCAAUUGCGAAGGCUCUCUCUCUCUCUCUCACAGGAAAUAAUGGGCAGGACUCUCAGAGAGAGAGAGAGAGAGAGAGAGAGAGAGAGAGAGAGAGAGAGAGAGAGAAAGAAAGUGAACGAGAGAGAGUGAGCGAGAGAGAGAGAGUGAGCGAGGAAGAGCGAGAGAGAGCGAGAGAGAGUGAGAGAGAGAGAGAGAGAGAGAGACAGAGGGAGAGAGCGAGAGAGGGAGAGAGUGAGCGAGAGAGAGCGAGAGAGGGAGAGAGAGAGCGAGAGAAAGUGAGCGAGAGAGAGUGAGCGAGGAAGAGCGAGAGAGAGUGAGAGAGAGCGAGAGAGAGAGUGAGGGAGAUAGUGAGCGAGAGAGAGCAAGAGAGAGAGUGAGCGAGAGAGAGAGGGGGGGAGAGAGAGAGAGAGUGAGCGAGAGAGAGAGAGAGAGAGAGAAAGGGAGAGAGCGAGAGAGAGAGAGAGAGAGAGACAGAGAGGGGGGGGAGAGAGAGAGAGACAGAGAGGGGGGAGAGAGAGAGAGAGACAG
Nothobranchius furzeri (turquoise killifish) is the source of this 2177-nucleotide long non-coding RNA. The record is from Ensembl. NCBI's taxonomy places the organism in Eukaryota, Metazoa, Chordata, Actinopteri, Cyprinodontiformes, Nothobranchiidae.